CAGUCGCAUCCUUCAGAAAUCAACCCGACUUAGGUCUCGUGCACUUUCUGUUUGGAUGGAUCAGCAUCAAUUUUGACCAUUGGACAAAGACCUUGGGAACGUGGCAUCUCCGGAUGUGUUAUAGCCCUUUGUUGUAUACGACGGUUGGGAUUGAGGACCGCAGCACGCCUUUAUGGCCGGGGCUCGCCACGUACGUGCCUUAGGAUGCCGACGUAAUGGCUUUAAUCGACCCGUCUUGAAACACGGACCAAGGAGUCUAACA
This 262-nucleotide ribosomal RNA is filed under the name Acaulospora laevis. Lineage: Eukaryota; Fungi; Glomeromycota; Glomeromycetes; Diversisporales; Acaulosporaceae. The record is from RNAcentral.